RNAcentral lists this ribosomal RNA (495 nucleotides) under Triticum aestivum (bread wheat). Its description in RNAcentral is "partial small subunit ribosomal RNA". Lineage: Eukaryota; Viridiplantae; Streptophyta; Magnoliopsida; Poales; Poaceae. The record is from RNAcentral.
AUGGAAGAUGCCUCUGGAACUUUUGGGUUCUUUUUUGGGGGCGAUAUGGAAGCAGCUAGCUCCCUUUCCCUUAUUACGUUACCAUUUCUCUCCGCUAUUCUUCGCUUAGAAGGGCUUGAGAACGAAAUAAAAGUCAAUCCUCUCACCAAUGAAGCGCAUAGGGAUAGGAUGCUCAAGCUCCUUGAUGAGAUUAUUAUCGAUCCGAACGAUCCACAGAAUGCAGGGGUAAUCCUUGCUUCCAGGAUACGCGUCGAGAUUAAUAAAAUCGUGGAUGAUAUCGAUCCGUAUUGGCUAACCGACCUUUCCUCUAAUAUAAGCGCGCUUUCUGAAGCAGUGCAUGGAGGGGUGGAAUGGGAUCAUCGGGUCGAAUAUCGCCGUCAGGCUUUGGCGGAUUUGCAAGAAUUUGGUGCAAAUGGUUUGGUCUUUAAAAGGGCUGUGAGGGACGUGUGGCCUUCGUCGAUGGGAAAUCCAUCGUAUGCGUUACAAAUCCACUAG